RNAcentral lists this transfer RNA (68 nucleotides) under Spathoderma clenchi. Its description in RNAcentral is "tRNA-Leu". Lineage: Eukaryota; Metazoa; Mollusca; Caudofoveata; Chaetodermatida; Prochaetodermatidae. The record is from RNAcentral.
GCUAUUGUGGCAGAGUGUAUGCCCUAAGUUUAAGCCUUAAAAACAAGAAUGACUGUUCUUCCCUAGCA